AAAUAAAAUUUGCUUUAAAAUUAAAAGGAGACAUGAUAUACAGGCAUUAAUCUGGCAAGGGCAUUUUCUUUUUCUUCCCCCCAUCCUUAUCAGAAACAACUCUCUUUCACUUAGACAGCAGCACGCACUGAUGAUCCUUCCCAAGGAUCAUGUUACCUCUCCCACCUUCUGUCGUAACGGAGUCCAAAGGGACCUGCCCCACUGCAUAUCCCUCGGGACACCAUCAGUCCAUUACAUUGACGAGAUCGUGUCAUAGAAACAGACUCGGGCACCCACCAGACGUUCCAGCCAACAGCCCCCGUUGGGGUCUUACCCAACAGCCAGUGUCAGCCAUCAGCCGUGUGAGUGAGCGAGCGAUCUUUCGGAUAGUUCCUGCCCCGGCUUCCGGCUGCCCCAGCUGUCGCCAUAAAGGGCCCGGCAAUUUCUCUUUACCUACUCAGUGCAGAAUCGAGAAUCCGCCGCGCGGUUAGCUGCUCAGAUGUCGUCAGGCUUUCAUGGACGAACACUUCCCCUCUCGCUCCCCCUCCAACGUUCCAGCCUUCCCUGGGGACUGUGGCUUAGGAGGUAGGUGGUUUAGAACCAGCUUCCCAGAUGAACAGCUAGUUCGCAUGGCUUUUGAAGUUAUAAAAGCGAGAUACGCACAUUACAGAAAAUGUUGGAAAAUCAAGAAAAGCAAUCACCCACACUCCCACCUCCCCGCUGUGCGAGCCCGUUCUGCUCAUCUUUGUCUAUUUUUCCCAAAACCUACAGCGUUUUUUAAAAACCUGUUGUAGUCCUACUUUCCAUUUCGGUGUGAACCCUGAGCCUUCCAUUUAAAGCUGUGGUACACGCUCUUGUCAUUGUUUUCUUUCUUAAUGAAUACAUAGCGGCAUCGAGCGGCUGAACCACACUGUCUGUAAGGUGGUUCCGCCCCCGUUUGGCAAUUCGGGUGUUUGCCAGUUUCUACCUGCAGCGAACGUCCUGCCUAGAACUUUUUCCGAAAGCAAAAAGGACUUCCUCGGACCAGAUUCCUGGAAGAGAAAUGACCGAUCGGAAGUUGUGGGUAUCUUCUCGGCUCUGGAUAUACAUCCCUUGUCAGAUGGUCACAGAGACUUUAUUUUGAAUUAUGAUUGUCAUAGCCGAUGCCAUUAUUGUUAUGAAAGUAUAGAGCGAAUAAAAAUCACCCAUCCCCCCCC
Long non-coding RNA from Leopardus geoffroyi (Geoffroy's cat), 1175 nucleotides. RefSeq lists it as uncharacterized. The transcript has 2 exons. The record is from RefSeq and is a predicted model, not a curated record. Lineage: Eukaryota; Metazoa; Chordata; Mammalia; Carnivora; Felidae.